Molecule: long non-coding RNA, 1313 nt
Filed under: Ananas comosus (pineapple)
Lineage: Eukaryota; Viridiplantae; Streptophyta; Magnoliopsida; Poales; Bromeliaceae
Description: long non-coding RNA (ACOM_LNC042487)
Source: RNAcentral
AUGAAUAUACAUGUUGGACUUGGAACUUGUCUUAGGAGAAAACCAGCAAUUCGACCUGUCAUAUGAUUCUACUACCUGAUUUAGCUCUAAGAGCCGUGAUUUAAUUGUAUCACCGUUGUUUCAGCGCGGUGGAUACCCGGGGUAGUUUAGAAUGCAUUUACGCUCGUGCUGGGAUGCCGAGUUUAUUUUUACAGUAGAGUCUAGGCUGUUUCGGAUUGUCGGGUGCUGUCGGGGUGGACGGUGGACCCAGAUUCCUGUUUUUGAUCUCAGAUUGUGCCGAGGGCACGUGGGUUUGGUUUCUAAACCUGUUUUGACCCUAGUUACUUGACUUUGGCUUGUUAGAGCCUGAUUGAGCUCGAUAGAGAUACGCUGCAUACUCGGUUGGAUAGCUCCGACGAGUGUCACUCCGGAGACAGGCGCUGUACUUUUGCGUUGGUGUCGUUCGUACAGGUUGGACUUGCUCUCCACAGACUGGUUAGUAUGGAGGUAGCUGUAUAGUCGCAACCAGGCGGGACGGGUGUGUUCACAGUCCUAUGGACGGGUAUGAUUACAGUCCUUAUUUGAGAUUGGGUCAUGAGUUAAUAUUGUUCUACAGAGAGUUAGAGUUAGAGCAUGAUAGUAUAGCGGUAUUUAGCUGUAGAUUUGUUCCAUCUUUCUUUACUAUUCCUGUUUAUCCCUGUAGACUUAGUGGGUGGACCGAUGAGUUUGAGGGCGGUACCCAUUGAGGACUACUUUUUUUGUAGUAGUUCUCACGUCCAGUUGUUACCACUGUUUUGUAGAGUCGUCGCCUUCGGCUGCUGCUGUUGCUGUUGCUGAUCUUGAUCGUGGCAAGGGCGUCGCAAGUUAGAGCCCUUCCAGUCGAGUCGCAGAGCUAGAGGAGCACCAGCUACAGGUAGUUGUAGUUUUUGGGUCUUUACAUAUGGUUGUUGUUAUCUCGUUAGAGCGAGUAUUUGUAUAUCUAGAUCACAUGUAUGUAUUGAACCACAGUUUUUAUAUAUGGUUUAUUUUUCUAACUGCUCUAUACUACUGUUUGUAGUAUUGUAUGAUUACAGGUACUACUUUUUCGCUUCGUAUACAUAAGAAAUAACUAUGUAUACGGCGGGUCUGUUAGCGAGCCCGGGGAUCUGAGUAAUCCGGGGCGUGACAUAAAUCACAUAAAAUAUCGUUGUAUAAAAAAAUACAUAAUUUAAAUUUCUUCAAAACUAAAAAUUUUAAAUCUCUAAACUCUAUGAAAUUAAUUAAUUUUAUUAAUAAUAUGCAUAAUAAAUCGUAUAAUAAAAUUUAACAUGAUAGAUUUAAUUUAAAUCACUUAA